CAGCUCUCCUGAACUCCUUUUUCCCUAAGAUUUUCUUCCCAUGGGACCUUACCUACCAGUUCUCGGAGUUUAACAUCUGCUUUUCUGAAGUCCAGGGUCCGUAUUCUGCUGCUCUCCUUCCUUCCUUUUGUCAGGAUCCUGAACUUGACCAUCUCAUGGUCACUGCCUCCCAGGUUCCCAUCCACUUUUACUUCCCCUACUAAUUCUUCCCAGUUUGUGAGCAGCAGGUCAGGAAGACCUCUGCCCCUAGUUGCACUAGCACUAGGAAAUUGUCCCCUACACUUUCCAAAAACUUCCUGGAUUGUCUGUGCACCACUGUAUUGCUCUCCCGGCAGAUA
Chelonia mydas (Green sea turtle) is the source of this 338-nucleotide long non-coding RNA. RefSeq lists it as uncharacterized. The transcript is spliced from 3 exons. The record is from RefSeq and is a predicted model, not a curated record. Lineage: Eukaryota; Metazoa; Chordata; Testudines; Cheloniidae.